UAGCAGUCGGCCAAUGUGAAGCUGCGCGAGAGAAAAAAACACGAGCAGUGACGACACCGUCAGCCUUAAACGGCUACGCAAAACGACACUGAUCCACGAAUUUACUGAAAAAGCGGCGUGUUGCUCUAUCAACUCUAUACGGUUUGAAACAUACAUACGUAAGCAUGGCGUUUCUUUGUUUGCUUAGAGUGCUUAUACAGAUACACAUAUAUAUAUAUAACACAACAUAAUAGCAAGUAGCUAAAAAAACUGACUGCUGAAAAAUGCUGUAUAUUCUUACCCGAGAAAACGUCCCGCUACGGAGAGCUUAUAAUGUAAGUUUUAAGAUCCAAAGACGAAGCGGUAACUGACCAUCCAGGAAGUACACUUGUGUCUCUA
Triplophysa dalaica is the source of this 378-nucleotide long non-coding RNA. RefSeq lists it as uncharacterized. The record is from RefSeq and is a predicted model, not a curated record. The transcript has 2 exons. Lineage: Eukaryota; Metazoa; Chordata; Actinopteri; Cypriniformes; Nemacheilidae.